UACAACAACAGAAUAGUGAAAUUAAAAAUCGUACAUUAUUAUAGAAUUUGUAAUGUUCAGGCACUGCUAUAAAAAAUACUUGAACCAUUUUCACUUAGGGAAUAGUAAUACAGCUGUAGAAGCUUUAGGAAAGGAGCCAGUGUUGGCUGCUGUCCCUGGCACUAGGACAUACAGUCAUAAAACUGUUGAUAAGGUGCAAGUUUCAUAGCAGAGCUCAUAGAAUUCAGCACUUCACCAGAAUGUCCAUUUGCCUAUUGUCCUCUCUGUAUUUUUAGCCUUUUCCCCCACUCCGACCUCCCCGAGUAGCAUUGAUUUUCUGCUAAAGUUGGAAUUUGUGUGAAGAAUUCACUUUUAAUUUCUGAGAUAACUGAAUAUCAGGAAUAGCUUUGCUUGCUAUGAAUUUGAUAUUCAUUUUUUCUUAAAUAAAAUUAGUGAUCUUAUAAAUGUCUCUCCCCCUCGAGAAUGUGCGUUUAGCUCGAAUUCUGAAUGACAAAGUCUUAUUCCCAAUCAUAGCCAGUGAUGAAACCCUCUGACAAUAAAUUCUAUAGCCCUUAACCCAAGGAGUUUACAGUAAACUAGGUUUUCUAGUGGUGCAGAAAUAUCUUUGUGGAAAAGCACGUCACUGUCUGUCUUUUUCUGUCAGGUAAAACUCUGCAGUUAUAGAUCUUGAACUGGAUCCCAAUUCAGAACUUAAGAACUUCAACACUAAAGGGUAGCUCUAGUUCAUCUUCUACAACAGUUAUUAUUUGAAAUAAGAUUUCCAAAUCUAUGCUAUCAUGUCCUCAAACACUAUCUUAACUGUAUUGAAAAUAGAACGUCAUAUGGCUGUUAUCUAAGGACUGAGGUCAGCAACAAAAAAAGUGGGUGGUGUUUAGCAGAGAAGUAGGCCACUUCUAUCACUUGUAAUUGUGAACUAAUUUGUCUUUUUAUUUGCUGGACAAACAGUCUCCAUGAACUUGUGCACGAUGUCCUGUUUUGCCUAUCUGUGGCAUUUUUACUUGGAGAUAGUGAACUUCAGGAACAGAACUAGAGAGAAUGAGGGUAUGUUAGAGGAAGAAUAAAAUAGGAGCUUUUUGCUCAUGGAUCUGAAGGUCCACAAAUCUAAAACAAAAGAAAGCUCUUCAUUUAUAACCCUAAAUUUAAUGCAGUGCUGAGAAGAAGAGGAUCAAAAGGGAUCAAAGUUCAGUUAUUCUGAAUAGUCUUUGGAAAGCAGCAUUUCUUGGUUAAUCGCUUUUCUUACCAUCUCCCAAAUACUUGAUAGCGAUCUUAAAACAGAAAACCCAGGGUAAUAGGCUCUAGAUCUUAAACUAGGUGAGCAGUUUCUUUUUUUUCUUUUUUUGUCUUUUGUCUUUUUAGGCCUGCACCUGCAGCAUAUAGAGAUUCCCAGGCUGGAUCAGAGCUGUAGCUGCCAGCCUACACCACAGCAAUGCCAGAUCCUUAACCCACUGAGCGAGUCCAGGGAUCAAACCUGCAACCCCAUGGUUCCUAGUCGGAUUCAUCUCCACUGUGCCACGACGGGAACUCCAGGUGAGCAGAUUUUUACGUACAGCUGAGUUCCUUGAUAAGGAUCCAGAGGGAAAAUCAGCAGUAAAACAUUUUAACAUGCAGUUUUGGGGGCGCCCAGGAGACUCGCUUUUUCAAAAAGUUUAACCUCUUACUGCAACACUGCUCGGUACCAUCUGGGAUGCUAGCAUUCACAGCAGUUAGUUCGGAUAUCUGAGCUGUCUGCCACAUGAAUACCAGCCUGAGGAGAUCAUCAUUCUUCAGUAUCAUUCAGUGCUUAACGAGUGCCAAAUUAACUGGCAGGGAGGAAAAACGCUAAUACACUGAACAGGCUUGUGUGCAUGAUUAAGGAGCUACUCAAGUAACCAAUUUUGAGCUUAAUUUCACUCCUUUGUUAACAAAUCUCAAGAAAGCCUUUGUUACAGUUUCACUAGUAGUCAUUUGGUUGGUGUUCAUUUUCCAGCCCUUUAAAAUAGGAAGAAAAUUGUAAUUUCAUGUUCAACUUCUAACCCAUACAGAAUUGCACUGACAUCAAUUUAGUUUCCAUGUUUUAAAAUAAUUAUACAUAGUCCAAAGGGUCUCUGUUUAUUCUACUUUGCCAGGAAAUACAUGAGUUCUGGGCUUGGCCUUAGAAGUAUGUAAUAAUUUUGGCUUAUUCUGUAGGUUUCCUCCACAUCUAUAAUAUGAUUAAUUAGAGACGGUAUCUAGAAUAAGUUCAACUCCAUUGCAACUGGCAGAGCUUUAUAAAUUCAUUUUGCAACAAAGGAAAAGACCUUAUACCAUCAGGGCCCUGCCAUCAGAUUUUGGCAAGUGACUGUUUUAGCGCGUUGCCCUGUAGUUGCUGUGUUUACCUUAUUAAGAUGAAAGAAGGAAAACUGAGGGCAGAGGUAUGUAGCUUUAUAUUUCCUGAAUUGCCUCUUUUAGAAGUCUUAGAGAACUUGCAUCUUUGUAAAGGCUUGGCUUAAUUUUACACACACAUAUUAACUACACUUGCAAGAGCACUGAAUACAAAGUUAUAAGACAUGUUAAAGUAAUUGUAUACCCAACCCCAAAUUCAGUAGUAGGGUAUUAAAGUCCAAAUGUUUAAAUGUGGGUAGUCUAUGGGGAAGAUACAUGUUUUUGAAAGUCAUAUACAUAUUUCCUCUUUGAGAUAUAUUUUUCUUUCAAAAACAAGAAAAACGACCUAGUGACCAGUUGUAAAUUGUUUUCUCCCUCAAUUGUAAACCACCCUUUAGUGAAAUAAAAGUGGACUCUCUUAGGCGUUACAUUUAGCUUGACCAAGAGAUGCUGUGAUUGUGUCAUUCUUUAAGCCUGAUUGCUUUUUUGACUUAUGUAAAAUGUCUUUUCAAUGGAAUGAAAAUAGCAUAGUAUUAAUUUUCCUUUACAUAUUGUCUUCAGCUCAGUGUAGAAAUUGUAAAGUAAUGAGACAUGUUUCUAUGAGCAGAUUCUUUGAUGGAGAUAGGUUUUUCUUCCCUGUCACCACUUCAAAAUCUGUACAACUGAAUCUGCAGCCUCAGAAGAGUACAGGAAAGCUUAGGGUCUCCUUUUCUUGUGUUGAUCUUGGCUACAAAAAAUUUUCCAUCUUUUCAAUGGAAGUGUGUGUGUUAUAUGCAGCUUGGGAAAGAUGUUAGUUUUUUUGUUUGUUUGUUUGUUUGUUUGUUUGUUUUUUAAGUCAACUAUUAACAAAUUCGAAGUACUUAUUGGCCAGAAAUGAAGAUCUCUUUAGAUAGAGAUAGAGCCUCAAAACCAAAGUUGGACUGGAGAUUAGGUUGAGAGGGAAGAUGAAGCUCCAUCCAUAGCCAAUAGAACCGUGUCUUUCUGGGUCUGCUUUUUAAUGCUAUUGAGAGCUCCUUUUCUGUUCCAACAGCUCCUAGACUGGAAAUAGGAUAUUACAGUGAAAGUUGUAGAGCGCCGAACAUCUUUUAUGGGCCUUUUCGAUAACAACAUGUUGUUUUUUACGAUUGAAAAAAUAUUUAUCAUAGAAAUUUAGGAAAUUAUUACUGAAGUAAAGAAAGCAAGCCACUAUUAUUUAACUGGUGAGACUCAGGCAUUUUAUUUUCCUGACUUUCUUCUGUUACCCAACAUGGUGAAGGCCGGAAGAAGUAAAACGAAACAAAAAUCUUGACAGAGCCCUUCCUCCUCGUCUUUUACCGCACGUGUGGAGUCUCAGCCCUUGCUAUAUUCCUUUAAAGAAAGCGUUGCCCUUUUCUAGACAGUCCGAAAGCAAUUCUGUUGAUAUAUAUCUUUCAAGCCUAAAUUAUAGAUGUAUUACCCCAAAGCUGCCUUGUUCAGGUCAUUGGAUGUUUUAUCUCAAAGAUUAAUUUGAAUUUUUCAGCCCUUUUUGCACCAUUAUAGAAGUUUGGAGCAUAGUCCCACCCAUGAAGAGCUUUCUGUUUAGAUGGACUUUUUAAUAUGAUGAAACUCACACCCAGAAAGGAUGAAGUACUUUUGAAAGGCCAAGUGUACGCAAAGCAAAACAGACAAAUUUAACGUCAAGUAUAUAAAUAAGGAAUCCUUGAAAACCAGAGCUCCCUUACCGUGCUUAGCAAACGUCUCUCCCCCAAAAAAACGCAUUCUUCUGUUUACCAGCUAAGAUUUAGGAUGUUUGUAUUUCAUUAGUCCUUUUCUUAACGUAUGAAGGAAGAAACUGCAGCCUUUCAGGUUCUAUUCCUUCCUUUCCCCUCAGUAGCGACCUGCAUCCCGUACCUAAACCAGAAGUGGAAAUCGCGAGGGUGGGAAGUCCGGAACACCCGGCAUGAGCUAGUCGGAGGUUUUAAACAGGAGUGUUUUGAGACAUCAGGUGUCUUCUCACAUCAUUCUUGUUCUAAGUCAUUGUUGGGCUGUGUUGCGUGUGUUUUGCAGUCUUCUCCACCCCUCUCAUGAUCCUCCUUGCUUUAAUCUUAUUUUCAACCAAUCCAUAUGGGCUUUUUAGGUUUUCGUUUUGUUUUGUUUCUUAGUACAAAUAAUGUUCUGAUCCCAGUUUUGGUGAAUGUGUUAACACUGCUUUGUGAAUAAAAUGAGUGAUCUGCUGAACAAUUGCAGUUGUAGAAUUAUGUUGUAUGUAAUGUACAUAUGGAGAAAGAAUGUAUUUUGUUCAUUUUCUUAAUAAAAAGUUAUAUAUGGACGC
This 4630-nucleotide long non-coding RNA is filed under the name Sus scrofa (pig). RNAcentral's name for it is "lncRNA (ENSSSCG00000062788.1)". Lineage: Eukaryota; Metazoa; Chordata; Mammalia; Artiodactyla; Suidae. The record is from RNAcentral.